RNAcentral lists this non-coding RNA (23 nucleotides) under Arabidopsis thaliana (thale cress). Lineage: Eukaryota; Viridiplantae; Streptophyta; Magnoliopsida; Brassicales; Brassicaceae. The record is from RNAcentral.
GGGGCAAGAGCCAGGCCUCGAUG